CAAAAAAAGUUGUUUCAUGGUCUGUGACACAAAGGAGAAGGAAAGAAAAGAAAUUUAACAAAGUAUUACAUAUUUCAAAACAUAAAUGUUCAGGCAUGUCUACACUAGACAAAAAUCAAAGCAGUCACAUGUGCACAUCCAUAUAUGGGAUCAACAUGUGUCCUCAGGCACGCAUAUCAUACUGGGUAGCCCAUUCUUUCAUCUUCCUAAGCUGAGCUCACUAAUCCUCCCCCAAUAAGAUUAAAAAUGAAUGGACUGUCUUGAUGCAGCUUCAACUAUCAUCUCCAAACAAAAAAUGCUCACAAACAUAUCCCUCUCUAAAUGACGUCUCAGCUACUUUUACCGACUAGAAAAUAAUGACUUAGAUGUCCUGGCAACACCUUCAAUUCAACAUAUGAAAAGCACCUUACUCUACAAACAGCCCUUCCUUCCAACCAUUCCAAUUUCUAUUAAUGGAUCCUGGUUACAGGGUUAGUCUGUAUGACACUUUCCAUUAUGUCUGUUUCCCUUAUGAGCGGGGUAAACAUUUAUCACACAAACGAGAACCUUUAUUUUUCUUUGAGAUGGAGUCUUGCUCUGUUGCCCAGAAUUAAGUGCAGACAAAAGGCAUAAAUUGAGAUGUCUGAUCACCCUACUUAUGAAGAGCACACAUAAUAUGGAAAAAAUUCUCAAGUAGAAGCAAGGAAACCUGAGUUCUAUUCCUGGCUCUGCUGCUAACUAUUAAUAGCUUCCUGUCUUUAACCAAUUUUCUGGCCUUUAGUGCUCUCAUACAUAUACUGAGAAAACUAGGACUGGCGUCUAAGGCCCC
RNAcentral lists this long non-coding RNA (808 nucleotides) under Homo sapiens (human). RNAcentral describes it as "HSALNT0152387". Lineage: Eukaryota; Metazoa; Chordata; Mammalia; Primates; Hominidae. The record is from RNAcentral.